GAUGAACGCUGGCGGCGUGCCCAAUACAUGCAAGUCGAGCGAACAGACGAGGAGCUUGCUCCUCUGACGUUAGCGGCGGACGGGUGAGUAACACGUGGAUAACCUACCUAUAAGACUGGGAUAACUUCGGGAAACCGGAGCUAAUACCGGAUAAUAUAUUGAACCGCAUGGUUCAAUAGUUAAAGACGGUUUUGCUGUCACUUAUAGAUGGAUCCGCGCCGCAUUAGCUAGUUGGUAAGGUAACGGCUUACCAAGGCAACGAUGCGUAGCCGACCUGAGAGGGUGAUCGGACAGCCUGGAAGAGAGACUGGGCCCAGACUCCGAAGGGAGGCAGCAGUAGGGACUCUUACGGAAUGGGGGAAAGCCUGACGGAGCACCGCCGCGUGAGUCAUGAAGGUCUUCUGAUCCUAAAACUCUGUUAUUAGGGAAGAACAAAUGUGUAAGUACCUAUGCUCGUCUUGACGGUACCUAAUCAGAAAGCCACGGCUAACUACGUG
RNAcentral lists this ribosomal RNA (497 nucleotides) under uncultured bacterium. Its description in RNAcentral is "partial 16S ribosomal RNA". It matches the Rfam family "Bacterial small subunit ribosomal RNA", at positions 28 to 507 of the family's 1533-position model. The record is from RNAcentral.